RNAcentral lists this transfer RNA (117 nucleotides) under Chitinophaga eiseniae. Its description in RNAcentral is "tRNA-OTHER". It matches the Rfam family "tRNA". Rfam says of the family: Transfer RNA (tRNA) molecules are approximately 80 nucleotides in length. Their secondary structure includes four short double-helical elements and three loops (D, anti-codon, and T loops). Further hydrogen bonds mediate the characteristic L-shaped molecular structure. tRNAs have two regions of fundamental functional importance: the anti-codon, which is responsible for specific mRNA codon recognition, and the 3' end, to which the tRNAs corresponding amino acid is attached (by aminoacyl-tRNA synthetases). tRNAs cope with the degeneracy of the genetic code in two manners: having more than one tRNA (with a specific anti-codon) for a particular amino acid; and 'wobble' base-pairing, i.e. permitting non-standard base-pairing at the 3rd anti-codon position. Lineage: Bacteria; Pseudomonadati; Bacteroidota; Chitinophagia; Chitinophagales; Chitinophagaceae. The record is from RNAcentral.
AAAGCAAUCGUCUAAGGGUAAGACGCCGUCAUUAAAAGUUUUGAAAUUACCAGGAGGUCAAUUAAAACUUACUGCUUACAGGGGGCGGAGUUACCGGUUCGAGUCCGGUUUGCUUUA